RNAcentral lists this ribosomal RNA (1344 nucleotides) under uncultured bacterium. RNAcentral's name for it is "16S ribosomal RNA". It matches the Rfam family "Bacterial small subunit ribosomal RNA", at positions 28 to 1378 of the family's 1533-position model. The record is from RNAcentral.
GACGAACGCUUGCGGCGUGCUUAACACAUGCAAGUCGAACGGAAAGGCCCUGCUUUUGUGGGGUGCUCGAGUGGCGAACGGGUGAGUAACACGUGAGUAACCUGCCCUUGACUUUGGGAUAACUUCAGGAAACUGGGGCUAAUACCGGAUAGGAGCUCCUGCUGCAUGGUGGGGGUUGGAAAGUUUCGGCGGUUGGGGAUGGACUCGCGGCUUAUCAGCUUGUUGGUGGGGUAGUGGCUUACCAAGGCUUUGACGGGUAGCCGGCCUGAGAGGGUGACCGGCCACAUUGGGACUGAGAUACGGCCCAGACUCCUACGGGAGGCAGCAGUGGGGAAUAUUGCACAAUGGGCGGAAGCCUGAUGCAGCAACGCCGCGUGCGGGAUGACGGCCUUCGGGUUGUAAACCGCUUUCGCCUGUGACGAAGCGUGAGUGACGGUAAUGGGUAAAGAAGCACCGGCUAACUACGUGCCAGCAGCCGCGGUGAUACGUAGGGUGCGAGCGUUGUCCGGAUUUAUUGGGCGUAAAGGGCUCGUAGGUGGUUGAUCGCGUCGGAAGUGUAAUCUUGGGGCUUAACCCUGAGCGUGCUUUCGAUACGGGUUGACUUGAGGAAGGUAGGGGAGAAUGGAAUUCCUGGUGGAGCGGUGGAAUGCGCAGAUAUCAGGAGGAACACCAGUGGCGAAGGCGGUUCUCUGGGCCUUUCCUGACGCUGAGGAGCGAAAGCGUGGGGAGCGAACAGGCUUAGAUACCCUGGUAGUCCACGCUGUAAACGGUGGGUACUAGGUGUGGGGUCCAUUCCACGGGUUCCGUGCCGUAGCUAACGCUUUAAGUACCCCGCCUGGGGAGUACGGCCGCAAGGCUAAAACUCAAAGGAAUUGACGGGGCCCCGCACAAGCGGCGGAGCAUGCGGAUUAAUUCGAUGCAACGCGUAGAACCUUACCUGGGUUUGACAUGGAUCGGGAGUGCUCAGAGAUGGGUGUGCCUCUUUUGGGGUCGGUUCACAGGUGGUGCAUGGCUGUCGUCAGCUCGUGUCGUGAGAUGUUGGGUUAAGUCCCGCAACGAGCGCAACCCUUGUUCACUGUUGCCAGCACGUUAUGGUGGGGACUCAGUGGAGACCGCCGGGGUCAACUCGGAGGAAGGUGGGGAUGACGUCAAGUCAUCAUGCCCCUUAUGUCCAGGGCUUCACGCAUGCUACAAUGGCUGGUACAGAGAGUGGCGAGCCUGUGAGGGUGAGCGAAUCUCGGAAAGCCGGUCUCAGUUCGGAUUGGGGUCUGCAACUCGACCUCAUGAAGUCGGAGUCGCUAGUAAUCGCAGAUCAGCAACGGCUGCGGUGAAUACGUUCCCGGG